Molecule: ribosomal RNA, 58 nt
Filed under: uncultured Tomentella
Lineage: Eukaryota; Fungi; Basidiomycota; Agaricomycetes; Thelephorales; Thelephoraceae
Description: partial 18S ribosomal RNA
Rfam family: Eukaryotic small subunit ribosomal RNA
Source: RNAcentral
UUAGAGGAAGUAAAAGUCGUACAGGGUUUCCGUAGGUGAACCUGCGGAAGGAUCAUUA